GGACGAACGCUGGCGGCGUGCCUAACACAUGCAAGUCGAGCGAAGAACUUAUCAUGACACCUUCGGGUAGAUUGAUAAACUUCUUAGCGGCGGAUGGGUGAGUAACGCGUGAGGAACCUGCCUUCCACAAGGGGAUAGCCUCGGGAAACCGGGAUUAAUACCCUAUGAUACUUCCAAGUCACAUGACAGGGAAGUUAAAGCGUUAGCGGUGGAAGAUGGCCUCGCGUCCCAUUAGCUAGUUGGUGAGGUAACGGCUCACCAAGGCUACGAUGGGUAGCCGGCUUGAGAGAGCGACCGGCCACACUGGAACUGAGACACGGUCCAGACUCCUACGGGAGGCAGCAGUAGGGAAUUUUCCGCAAUGGGCGCAAGCCUGACGGAGCAACGCCGCGUGAGGGAUGAAGGUCUUCGGAUCGUAAACCUUUGUCAUCGAGGAAGAUAAUGACGGUACUCGAGGAGGAAGCCCCGGCUAACUACGUGCCAGCAGCCGCGGUAACACGUAGGGGGCGAGCGUUGUCCGGAAUUACUGGGCGUAAAGGGUACGCAGGCGGUCAUGUAAGUCAGAUGUGAAAUCCUAAGGCUUAACCUUAGUAAGCAUUUGAAACUGCGUGGCUUGAGUUAAGGAGAGGAAAGUGGAAUUCCUGGUGUAGCGGUGAAAUGCGUAGAUAUCAGGAGGAAUACCAGUGGCGAAGGCGACUUUCUGGCCUUAAACUGACGCUGAGGUACGAAAGCGUGGGGAGCAAACAGGAUUAGAUACCCUGGUAGUCCACGCUGUAAACGAUGAGUGCUAGGUGUCGGGUGUCAAAGCUCGGUGCCGCAGUAAACACAUUAAGCACUCCGCCUGGGGAGUACGUUCGCAAGAAUG
RNAcentral lists this ribosomal RNA (865 nucleotides) under uncultured Clostridia bacterium. Its description in RNAcentral is "bacterial SSU rRNA". It matches the Rfam family "Bacterial small subunit ribosomal RNA", at positions 27 to 896 of the family's 1533-position model. The record is from RNAcentral. Lineage: Bacteria; Bacillati; Bacillota; Clostridia.